ACAACAGGCAGCUGACAACGUUCAACCAGAUAAUAUCGCUGAAGGUGUUGAGGGUUUGAAUUUGUUACCGAAAAUUUCCGAGGCUUCUGAGAGUGGAACUAUUAGAAAAAAAAAUGAUCGCAAAGUUCAAGACAUUCCAAGAGAAUCUGCAAAAGA
Non-coding RNA from Styela clava, 156 nucleotides. NCBI's taxonomy places the organism in Eukaryota, Metazoa, Chordata, Ascidiacea, Stolidobranchia, Styelidae. The record is from RefSeq and is a predicted model, not a curated record.